UUACACAGCAUCCAAACCCUUCAUAUAAUUUCGGAAAUAAGGUUCGAAAGUUCAUACCAAAUCACCGGAUAAAUGAUUUGACUAUGAGGGAAGAAUAUAAAUGA
Molecule: non-coding RNA, 104 nt
Filed under: Bacillus sp. (in: firmicutes)
Lineage: Bacteria; Bacillati; Bacillota; Bacilli; Caryophanales; Bacillaceae
Also listed under: 1 other name
Description: Bacillus sp. Guanine sequence
Rfam family: Purine riboswitch aptamer
About the family: Riboswitches are metabolite binding domains within certain messenger RNAs that serve as precision sensors for their corresponding targets.
Source: RNAcentral